UGUGGAGCUGGUGGCGGCGCUCCGCAGGGGCUCGGCUGUUUUCCGCGCGGCAGGCGCAGCCAUGGCGCAGCUGGGGAAGCUGCUCAAGGAGCAGAAGUACGACCGGCAGCUGAGGUUGUGGGGUGAUCAUGGGCAAGAGGCUUUAGAAUCUGCUCAUGUUUGCCUAAUAAAUGCAACAGCCACAGGAACUGAAAUUCUUAAAAACUUGGUACUACCAGGUAUUGGUUCGUUUACAAUUAUUGAUGGAAAUCAGGUCAGCGGAGAAGAUGCUGGAAACAAUUUCUUCCUUCAAAGAAGCAGUAUCGGCAAGGUAAACAAUUAGAGAAUAUAGUUGGAUGUGAGCAUCUAAUGAUGCCACUGUGUUUUGAUUGCUUGAAAAGCUUUGACUUUAAAAACGUGUAUUAUUUCUCUGAGAAAAAAGUUAACUAAUUUUUGUAAUCUUGUAAAUCUUCAUAUGUUUGGUAGUUUAAGAACUUAGAGGUGUACUAUCUGUGUUUAUACAUUGUAUCCUGUAUUAAAGCUAAAUCUUGAGUAAUGUUAAUAUUCAGAGGGUGGAUUCUGGUUAACAAAUUUUUUUUUUUUUUUUUUUUGAGACGGAGUCUCGCUCUGUCCCCCAGGCUAGAGUGCAGUGGCGGAUCUCAACUCACUGCAAGCUCCACCUCCCA
RNAcentral lists this small RNA (665 nucleotides) under Pan troglodytes (chimpanzee). RNAcentral describes it as "retained intron". The record is from RNAcentral. Lineage: Eukaryota; Metazoa; Chordata; Mammalia; Primates; Hominidae.